UUAAAGUAUUUUCAGAAACACGGAAGUUUGCGAAAAAAUGAAAUUUUUAUUAACUGUUAUAUAUUUGUGUGGCAUUGUUGCUGUAUUGGCUCAGCCUCCCUGCGGGUUUAUUUCAUACAACGUUCGAGCCGGUGAACAAUAUUGUGAGCGUCAAUGCCCAAAUCCAGUCAUUGAGGUUUCGCUACGCUGUACCCGUUCCCCUACUACGACCACCGUAAGAAUCUGUCCAGCGAGUUGCUGCCGUCAGGGGUCGCGGUGUAUAAGGGUCACACAAUAAUAAUAAAUAUCUGACAGCACAUACAUACACUUACCCUGAAAAGCUUUUCUAAACUUUUGGAAGUUGUAGGACAAAUAGAGGUAUUGUGAUGAGUAGAGGGCACAAUGGAUCUCUUUAGGUCUUAGUAAAUAACUC
Long non-coding RNA from Rhagoletis pomonella (apple maggot), 412 nucleotides. RefSeq lists it as uncharacterized. NCBI's taxonomy places the organism in Eukaryota, Metazoa, Arthropoda, Insecta, Diptera, Tephritidae. The transcript has 2 exons. The record is from RefSeq and is a predicted model, not a curated record.